Molecule: small nucleolar RNA, 212 nt
Filed under: Chlamydotis macqueenii (Macqueen's bustard)
Lineage: Eukaryota; Metazoa; Chordata; Aves; Otidiformes; Otididae
Description: Chlamydotis undulata macqueenii Small nucleolar RNA U3
Rfam family: Small nucleolar RNA U3
About the family: Small nucleolar RNAs (snoRNAs) are involved in the processing and modification of rRNA in the nucleolus. There are two main classes of snoRNAs: the box C/D class, and the box H/ACA class. U3 snoRNA is a member of the box C/D class.
Source: Rfam by way of RNAcentral
AAGACUAUACUUUCAGGGGUCAUUUCUGUAGUUGGUCACUAGAGGAGAGUGAUCGCUCCUGAUCGGCGUCACAAGCCACGAGGAGGAGCGUGGUGCUCUCUCCUGAGCGCGAAGCGGGCGGGCGGUGCUGCUUGUGCAGGGGCCGUCCGCCAUUGAUGACCGUUCCCGCCUCCUUCGGGAGGUUGGGAGGGAGAGAGCACAGGCUGAGUGGU